GAUGAACGCUGGCGGCGUGCCUAAUACAUGCAAGUCGAGCGAACAGACGAGGAGCUUGCUCCUCUGACGUUAGCGGCGGACGGGUGAGUAACACGUGGAUAACCUACCUAUAAGACUGGGAUAACUUCGGGAAACCGGAGCUAAUACCGGAUAAUAUAUUGAACCGCAUGGUUCAAUAGUGAAAGACGGUUUUGCUGUCACUUAUAGAUGGAUCCGCGCCGCAUUAGCUAGUUGGUAAGGUAACGGCUUACCAAGGCAACGAUGCGUAGCCGACCUGAGAGGAUGAUCGGCCACACUGGAACUGAGACACGGUCCAGACUCCUACGGGAGGCAGCAGUAGGGAAUCUUCCGCAAUGGGCGAAAGCCUGACGGAGCAACGCCGCGUGAGUGAUGAAGGUCUUCGGAUCGUAAAACUCUGUUAUUAGGGAAGAACAAAUGUGUCAGUAACUAUGCACGUCUUGACGGUACCUAAUCAGAAAGCCACGGCUAACUACGUG
This 497-nucleotide ribosomal RNA is filed under the name uncultured bacterium. RNAcentral's name for it is "partial 16S ribosomal RNA". It matches the Rfam family "Bacterial small subunit ribosomal RNA", at positions 28 to 507 of the family's 1533-position model. The record is from RNAcentral.